AUAAAAACUUUGAAGAGAAGAGUAAUAAAACAAAACUUUUGUAGAGAGUUCUCGUUUGGUGCAAGAGAAUAAAGUUAGAGUUUAUGAAGAUGGCCUCUGAGUUGGGUUUCUGAAAUUUGAGUAGGAAAUCUCGGGUUUGCCCGUUAUCGCAAAAGAACUUGUUAGAGUUUGAAAUAGGCAUGCUGUUUAGGCAUUGUGAAAAAGGUUGGUACCACGUGAUUAUAUAUCUCGUCCUUGU
Molecule: non-coding RNA, 238 nt
Filed under: Coprobacillus sp.
Lineage: Bacteria; Bacillati; Bacillota; Erysipelotrichia; Erysipelotrichales; Coprobacillaceae
Description: T-box sequence
Rfam family: T-box leader
About the family: Uncharged tRNA acts as the effector for transcription antitermination of genes in the T-box leader family. T-boxes are found upstream of many aminoacyl-tRNA synthetase genes and some amino acid biosynthetic genes usually in Gram-positive bacteria.
Source: RNAcentral